ACUCAGGUGGCACAAUGGGCCAGUGUACCUGGCUGUUAACCAGAAGUUUGGUGGUUUGAAGCCACCCAAUGAUGGCUGUGGGCA
Podarcis lilfordi (Lilford's wall lizard) is the source of this 84-nucleotide non-coding RNA. Lineage: Eukaryota; Metazoa; Chordata; Lepidosauria; Squamata; Lacertidae. The record is from the annotation of a GenBank genome assembly.